This 66-nucleotide transfer RNA is filed under the name Bifidobacterium bifidum. RNAcentral describes it as "tRNA-Thr". The record is from RNAcentral. Lineage: Bacteria; Bacillati; Actinomycetota; Actinomycetes; Bifidobacteriales; Bifidobacteriaceae.
GUCGUAGCUCAGUCGGCAGAGCAGCCGCCUCGUAAGCGGCAGGUCACCGGCGUGUCGUAAUCCCCA